AAUGCAACUGAGUGCAAAUGCAGUGUAGUUCUUCCUGUAGCAUCUCCCAAAAGUUUCGUCUGGUGGGGCCCUCAACCUCCCAGCAGCACUUUUGUGCAAUCUGAGCCCUGGGCUGAGGACAGCUCUGUAUCUUACCGGGACACAUCAGAUUGAAUCAGGAUUGACUGCAAAGCUGACACCACGGAGAAUUGCACUCAACGCCAUUCAAGCAAAUGGUGCUUCUGAAUCGGCACCAGCCGGCUGCCCCGAUGCUGAGGUUUUGAUCUGUUAGAUCCAGAGCAGCCUGGUUUGCACUCAUAUCACCACGCUUAAAGAACAGUCACUUAAUCUCACUUAGAAAUGUUUACUCGUGAGGACCAGAUGGCCCAGGGAGUUGGGCUAAACAAAGCAUUUUACUUCUAGGUCACGCAUUCUAAUCCAGUCCAGGUUGGCAAUAAAUGAACAUAUUCACCUGAUAGCCGCUUUUGGCUUCAUUUUUGGUGUUUUUCAGGCUGGUUUCCAAGGGGAGAUGUCACACCACAAAAUCUCCCUCCGUGCCCUGCCACAGUUGGUCCUGAUUUGACUGUCUCUGUGGAGAAGCUGAGGAUCAAAUGCUCCGUGGCGCCAGACUGUUUUCUUUUGCAGCCUGCAGGAACCGCUGCUGACCCUGGUCAGAAGAGGCACGCUGCUCCCUGCGCUGGGGGGGCUGCAGCACCCCUCCUGCCAAGCUGAUGGAUUGCGGCCCCGAUUCUGUGAGCGGAUCGAAAUGACCCCGUGAAAAGCCUGCGGAGAGGCAACUCCAAGGUAAACCCUAAUCAAAGCCUGUACGUGUAAUGUGCAACCAGAGCAAAUGGCUUAAUUAUUUUAAAUUAUUUUAAAAUGGUGUGGUUAGUUUUCCCAUUCUCUCCUCCAAAGACUGACUCAGUCCGAGUUUAGUUAUAACCCCGUUUUAAACCUGUCUGAGGAUGAACAUGUUUCCUCUUAAAUGAAGCUUGCACGGUAUGCCAUAAACUCCUUUUUUUUUUUCUUUCCUUUUUUUUUUUAAAUGGGUGUUUGCACUAAGCC
Molecule: long non-coding RNA, 1044 nt
Filed under: Anser brachyrhynchus (Pink-footed goose)
Lineage: Eukaryota; Metazoa; Chordata; Aves; Anseriformes; Anatidae
Description: lncRNA (ENSABRG00000009558.1)
Source: RNAcentral